Molecule: unclassified non-coding RNA, 1249 nt
Filed under: Hevea brasiliensis (rubber tree)
Lineage: Eukaryota; Viridiplantae; Streptophyta; Magnoliopsida; Malpighiales; Euphorbiaceae
Source: RNAcentral
UUUCAAAUCCAAAGAACACAAAAAACAUAUUGCUAGUUGUAUUUGUGUUCCUCAUUUGUUGGAGUAAUGUUUUUUCAAGAACUCAAGAAGAUGACAGAGUAAUAAAGCUGCCAGGACAACCCAAUAGUCCACAAGUUUCACAAUUUUCUGGUUACAUUACAGUCAAUAAAACUCAUGGAAGUGCUCUCUUUUACUGGUUUUUUCAAUCUCAGUUUGAUUCUUCCAAGAAACCCCUUCUCCUUUGGCUUAAUGGUGGACCUGGUUGCUCUUCAAUUGGAUUUGGCGCUGCUGUGGAGUUGGGACCUCUGCUAGUUCAAAACAAUGGAGCUGGUUUUGACUUCAACAAGCAUUCUUGGAAUAACGAAGCCAAUUUGCUGUUUUUGGAAUCUCCAGUUGGGGUGGGAUUCUCUUACACCAAUACAUCCUCCGAUUUAACCAACUUAGAUGACACCUUUGCUGCUGAAGAUGCUUAUAAUUUCUUGGUGAAUUGGCUGGAAAGGUUCCCCGAUUUCAAGAACCGAGAAUUUUUCAUAUCAGGAGAGAGCUAUGCAGGACACUAUGUGCCGCAGUUGGCAGAGCUCGUAUACAACCGAAAUAAAGACAGCAAAAAGUAUCCUUACAUUAAUCUCAAAGGUUUCAUCGUUGGAAAUCCUGAAACGAACGAUUACUAUGAUUAUAAAGGGAUAUUGGAAUAUGCUUGGAGCCAUGCAAUACUAUACGAUUCGGAGUAUCAGAAAGCCAAACAAGUAUGCAAUUUCAAGGUGUCCCGUGAACACUUCCUCUUCUUCAGCUAGUGAUAUCGUUGAUACAAAUGAUUCUUCUCAAAUCAAGGCACCUAAUUAUGGGUUCAGGAGGAUGAAACGAAUUCCGGGGGGUUAUGACCCCUGCUAUACUUCAUUCACCGAAAAGUAUUUCAACCGAUUAGAUGUUCAAAUUGCUCUUCACGCGAACACUGAAGGAAGUCAAGCUAGAAAACAAUGGAAAAGUUGCAGUGAUCCUAUAUUCCGCACAUACAACUACAAUGUAUUCUCUAUCUUGCCAGUAUACGAAAGGCUCAUCAAAGGGGGCCUGAAGAUUUGGAUUUUUAGUGGCGAUGUAGAUGGACGAGUGCCAGUAAUUGGGACGAGAGACUGCGUUGAAGCUCUUAAUCUGACUCUGAAAUCUCCAUGGCGUUCUUGGUUCCUCAAUAAGCAGGUAGCAGGACGGGUAGUAGAGUACGAAGGGCUGACAUUUGUGACAGUAAGAGGAG